Molecule: ribosomal RNA, 803 nt
Filed under: uncultured Sphaerochaeta sp.
Lineage: Bacteria; Pseudomonadati; Spirochaetota; Spirochaetia; Spirochaetales; Sphaerochaetaceae
Description: bacterial SSU rRNA
Rfam family: Bacterial small subunit ribosomal RNA
Source: RNAcentral
AGGAGUUUGAUUUAUGGGCUCAGAACGAACGCUGGCGGCGCGUUUUAAGCAUGCAAAGUAGAGCGGCAAGGGUCUUCGGGCCCCUAGAGCGGGCGGAACGGGUGAGUAACACGUGGACAAUCUGCCCCCCGGCCGGGGAUAGCCCAGGGAAACCUGGAUUAAUACCGGAUGAGACGGGACCCGCGGAGGCGGGAUCCGGGAAAGGCGCUGCGGCGCCGCCGGGGGAUGAGUCUGCGUCCCAUUAGCUUGACGGCGGGGUAACGGCCCACCGUGGCGACGAUGGGUAGCCGGCCUGAGAGGGUGUACGGCCACAUUGGAACUGAGACACGGUCCAGACUCCUACGGGAGGCAGCAGCUAAGAAUCUUCCGCAAUGGGCGAAAGCCUGACGGAGCGACGCCGCGUGAACGAAGAAGGCCGUGAGGUUGUAAAGUUCUUUUCGGGAGGGGGAACAACCGUGGCAGGGAAUGGCCGCGGGAUGACGUGAAUCCCGGAAUAAGCCCCGGCUAACUACGUGCCAGCAGCCGCGGUAACACGUAGGGGGCGAGCGUUGUUCGGAAUCAUUGGGCGUAAAGGGCGUGCAGGCGGUCCUGCAAGUCCGGCGUGAAAGACCCCGGCCCAACCGGGGGGGCGCGCUGGAAACUGCAGGGCUUGAGUACAGGAGGGGAUGCCGGAAUUCCAGGUGUAGGGGUGAAAUCUGUAGAUAUCUGGAGGAACACCAAUGGCGAAGGCAGGCAUCUGGCCAUGUACUGACGCUGAGACGCGAAGGUGCGGGGAGCAAACAGGAUUAGAUACCCUGGUAGUC